Leucoraja erinaceus (little skate) is the source of this 5853-nucleotide long non-coding RNA. RefSeq lists it as uncharacterized. Lineage: Eukaryota; Metazoa; Chordata; Chondrichthyes; Rajiformes; Rajidae. The transcript is spliced from 3 exons. The record is from RefSeq and is a predicted model, not a curated record.
UGAAUCUGAAUCUGAAUUGGACUUGCCAUCACUUGCUAUUACUUCAUCAGGGGCCCACUUACCAUCGGGCAAGCUGACACCCUGGCCAGUCCGCUACUGAAUGGAACAAAAUUCCAGAGAAAGUAUUUGAGGCUUAGCUAUUAGACAUAUCUUGCAGGUCUCCCAUGAAGACCUUGCCUAUGUUCCUAAAUAGGACUUGCAUUUGAGCACACAUUGAAGAGCAGGCGCUUGGCUUCACUAUUGUUGGACAUGUGGUUGCUGGCCAUUUAUGUCUGUUGAUUUAACCUCAAGCCAUCUCUAAACAAAUCUCUGAAGGACAUGGUUUCUGAGCUGGAAGCAGCAGAUCAAGUCUCUCUCGUUGGUCAGCUUUAAUCAGUGCUGCCUAACUUCAACUAGCCAUUCACAAAAUUGGAGCCUGUGGUGAUGCAUUAAGACGAUGAAAACAAUUAUUAUUGGAAGAGCUCAGAAUUCAAUACGAUGAUAUUGAUUGCGCAUUGACAUCUCUUUGACUGUUUACCAAUGCAGCGUGAAUUAGCAUUGAAUGAGCAUUUGCUUAACUAAAUUGACUUUGCCUGUUUGUUAACAUCUUGGGAAAAUACACAGCAGUGUUUAGACCAGUAAGACCAAAGAUGUUAUAGCGGGGCAAGAUGGACCACUCCUGCUAAAUGCAAUGGGCUGACGUGUAGUACGCAACGGAACAGAACGUGGGCCUUUUUUCAUCCAUUUCCGUAACCGGACCCGACCCGACCCGACUCGCAGUGUAAUCAACGUUGUGGGGGAACAGUUUGUGAUAAUUAAUUAAAAUUCUGAAAAUGGGGAGAAGAUUUUUACCAAAUAACUUUUAUUUUUACGAGGACGUUUCCGUAACCGGCUUCCGUCUCCGCACUAUUAUCCUAUGGGAUCUUUGGUGCAGAGACGGAAGCCGGUUACGGAAAUGGGGCCUUAAAUUACCCAUGAAUCUGCCCAUGAUCGUACUACGUCUUUUUCGUCGAGUGGACUAUCUUGCUCGCUAUAGGAUCUCAAGAUUGCAUCAUCAAUGAAUAUUGCAAGGUGUUCAGAAAUCAUGUCAUCAAUGAAUAUCCUUUCCCCUUAUAACAGGAUUAAAUCGAACCUCAUUAAUCUUGUGAAAAGAUUCUGAAAAAUAAAUGUUCGUAAAAAGCAUUGUGUGUGGAAUCUGGAUUUUAUUUGAUUCUACUUUGUCAUUUAUUGAAUCAUUUUCACUGCAAUGACUAUGGCCCUUUCUGAGAUAAAAUAAUUAUUGGAUAACGUUGAUUGAGAAGCAAAAAGUAAAAAUGCAAAUAAAAUUAUAUUAUUGCCAUAAAGAAAGCAGUUCAACCGAGAACACAAAUUGGCUGUAAUCUUACUUUGAUAAUGGUAAAGAAAAGAGUUAUAUCAUGCUGGACUGACCCAAUGCCUGGACUGUGUGUUGAAAUCAUGAGAAAUAGUCUGACUGAAAUUCCUAUUUCUAUCCCAUCUAUUUUUUUGGAAUUGAAAACUGUAUCCUCUGUUCAUGAUCUUGAAGUGCCAGCUCAACAUUGUAUGAUUCACCAGUGUCCUGACAUGUGGGAAAUUUGCCUGCAUGUGUAUUAUUCCCCUGGAAAUGCCUAGGAAUCAUCUCAGUACAAGGGCAGUCCAGGAUGAACCUUGUCAAUGAUACCAUAUCUCCUGAACGAACAAAAAUAUUUCAAACCCAAUCUUUAUGCAUUCAACCUGAGACUCUUUUAUCUUGUUUUUAAAAUUUUCUCUCAUUCUUCGGCAAUUGGAUUUCCACGGAUAUUACACGGCAAGAGAUUCCCUUUUAAAUGCAGGUUCCAAAAGGAAGUCGGCAUUUUAAGAUGGAGUCACUAGGAACUAAAUUGGAAUGUGCUGGAAAGCAUGCACCAUUUGUGAUGCCCAUUUGCCCCGGCAGAGGAGGGAUGUGAAAUUUAUGCUGCUUGCUCACAUCAUGAUGUCAAUGUCCAGCCAGCACUCAAUGUUGUUUAUUGUCUGUGCACAUCGCCACAGGGCCCAAUUUCAUGAAUGACUACCCAUCCCCCCACCCCCUUUAAACCAGGUAUUAUUGAUUAAAGCCAGCUUGCACCUCUUAUGGAGGAGGUAUCUCUGAUGGAAGUAAUCGAUAGGUCUCGGCAGCCUACUAAAGAAAUGCUGUAUCUGAAUGAAGGAGGCGAACAAGGUGUUCAGAAAUCAUGUCAUAAGUAAUAGGAGCAGAAUUAGGCCAUUCGGCCCAUCAAGUCUACCACCAUUCAAUCAUGGCUAAUCUAUCUCUCCCUCCUAACCCCAUUCUCCCGCCGUCUUCCUAUAACCCCUGACACCUGAACUAAUCAAGAAUCUAUCAGUCUCUGCCUUAAAAAUAUCCAUUGAUAAUCGCUUUGGAGAUCUCUAGAUGAGGUGAAGAUGAUCAGGUAAUCAAGAAGCCCUCCAGGCACAUGGGAGAACAGCAGUGGAAGGAGACAUUAGUCAUGGUCAAACCCCCCUAAGACAUGAACGUGGUGUCACACAAAGAUCAAUGGUGUCUCAUCUUCAGGCAGCAUUCCCCGCGGAAUGCACUGCCUGUCCCGAACACUGAUCAAUAUGCCUCACUCAUCACUCAUUGAGCAACAAGGGUUAGGUUAUGGUGAAGAAACUGGGAAGUGAGAGCUACAGCAUUGCACCAUCAACAUUAUGUAUGUGAAGAAAGAUGGCAAAUAAGUUUGGUAUUGACUGGAAGGAGCAAGAACUGUCAGGAUUGUAUUCCAUUGUUUCAGGUGGUUCCUAGUUAGGGGCAACAGAUUCGCAAAUACCCCCACUUGACUCUUACGCACAUACCCGGCUUUGUAUUCAGAAUUCCCCAGCUUGCAUUGAUAGGUGUAUAUCUCAAACCCAAUGGGUAACAAUCAGCAUCACAAGGUCCUUGCGAGACUGAACACCAAACAUCAUCUUCUCUCCAGAGAUGCUGCCUGUCCCAUUGAGUUACUCCAGCAUUUUGUGUCUACUCUCGAUUUACACCAGCAUCUGCAGUUCCUUGUUUUUAUAUUCCUUGAGAUUAUUUAGCAUCGCAGAGUCCCUGUGAUUAUUUCUUGCUUGUGAUUAUUUCUAGUUUCAAUAAACAGAGAUGUCACGCUGAGGCUCUAUAAGGCACUGGUCAGACUGCAUUUGGAGUACUGUGAGCAAAUUUGAGCCCUAUAUCUGAGGAAGGAUGUGCUGGGGACAGUCCAGAGGAGGUUUACAAUAAUUAUUCCAGGAAUGAGUGGGUUAGCAUAUGAUGAACAUUUGACAGCACUGGGCCUGUACCUGCUGGAGUUUUGAAGGUUGAGGGGGGACCUCAUUGAAACUUACAGAAUAUUGAAAGGCAUAGAUAGAGAUGACGAUUCCACUGGUGGGAGAGUCUAGGACCAGAGGUCAUAACCUCCAAAUUAAAGGGCACUCUUUUGGAAAGGUGAGGUGGAACAUCUUUAGUCAGAGGGUAGUCAAUCUGUGGAACUCAUUGCAACAGAGGGCAGUGGAGGCCAAGUCAGUGGAUAUUUUUAAGACAGAAAUAGGCAAAUUCUUGACUAGAACGGGUGUCAAGGGUUAUCGGGAGAAGGCAGGAAAAUUGGAUUAGGAGGCAGAGAUCUGCCACGAUUGAAUGGUGGAGUAGACUCGGUGGGCUGAAUGGCCUAAUGCUACUCCUAUAAUUUGUGAUUUUGUGAAACCAAGUAUGUGCCACAAACUUGUAGUUGGAAUACUCCAGACAACUCCUAAUUCCCAGACGACAGUGUUCUCCAUUAUCGGAGGAGCAGUCAUGCAGUCUCUGGUCAGCGGCAGCUCUGAAAUCAUUGAAGGUGACAUUACAAUCAAGUCAAAUCAUCCUUCCAAUCCACUGCCAACUUAAUCCACAUUACUGGUGCCCAUAACUAGAGAAAUCAGGGAAGUUCUAAAUACAUUUUGAAUGAGAAUCUGCAGGAGGUACCUCUCACUUCCAUCCUCCUUCACCAUAACACAAUCCUUGUGCCUAUUGUUUCAGAUAAACAGGAGGUCCCAGGUAAACUGAUAGGAGAGAGCUGAUGAAGGCACCUGGUAUCUCAAUGUGUUGCAUGCAGCCAUGAGCUCAAAUAGAACAAAAAAAGGUUGCACUGUGAAGGUAUGAUUUAGAUAUCGUGAGGCUCAGGUUCGGGGAAAUAUGCAUCUCAGGUACUAGCCACUGAAGGUGAAUCUCAGGUAAUGACUUUGGUGGGACAGGUACAGAGGAAGAUGAUGGGUUGGCACACUGGUAGUCUUGCUUGAAAAAUCUAGGCACAUGAGGGAUUGUCAUUCUAACCUUGUACAGGUCUUGGCCAUGGCUUCAUUAUAGUAUGGAUAGUGGUCAGUCUAUUUCAACACAUGCAGACGAUGUCUGAAGUCUUAGAUUCCAAAGCAACACCGCAGAAAGUACCAAUUGAGCUGCUGCACUGGAGGUUCACAUAUCCACCAUGCAAGUUCUGAGUGCUGUUAAAUGACAUUGGGUUCUCACUUUGAAACAACAGGAAGUGGCUCCCAAUACUACAUUAUUUCUCCCUCUUCUUCCUUCCUGUUACUCCUCCUACUAUUCCACAACUGCUGGCAAGGGUUAUGCUUGUCUGUUUGGCAGGUUUCCCAGCAUGAAGCAGUUAACGCAGAUUUGGAGAUUUGCUCCAUUAUGUGCAGCAAGGUGGCUCCAGAUUUAUCCAGACAGCUGACGAAUCAAUCGUUUAAUCAGCUCUGUGAUUGUGUGUAUGUAUGAGUGAUUCCCAUGAUAAGAUUUCUUUUUUUUCUGGUGUAUUAGUUUCAGUCUGAAAUUAGGAGAUGAUGGUGAGAAGGCAGUAUUGUCCCCCAGUAGCAACCCUUUGGUCAGGUGUAAUGGCUUAAAAACAGAAGCCACAUGACUGAUACAAAAUAAAAGCAUAUGAAUCCUACCUAUUAUUAGAAUAUGGCUAUUACUAUGCUCAAGUUGUGGUCCUGACCACAUGACUGAUACAAAAUAAAAGCAUAUGAAUCCUACCCAGUUAUUAGACUAUGUCUAUUACUAUGCUCUAGUUGUGGUCGUGACCUAUUUCAAUGAAUUAAAUCCAUUGCAUUUACAAAACAUCUCAUGUUAAAAAAUGUUUGCCUUAAAAUUAUAUGACUGCAAUCAAUGGAUUCCCUUAUAUAUCUAUACACUGUAAAUGGAUCGAUUGUAAUCAGUCUUUCUGCUGACUAGUUAGCACGCAAUAAAAGCUUUUCAAUGUACCUCAGUAUACGUGAUAAUAAACUAAACUGAACUAUCCAUCCGGGAUCCCGGAAUGCUGUCAAACACUGCUAUCCAUUCAAUCCUGGGAGCCCUUAGCUGGGAAGGAUUUGAAUUCUUAUUUUCUGGAGAAGACAGUGUUUGUGACCUCCCUAUUGUAAUGUGUACUGCGGACUGUGAAGUGGUCUGUGCACCAGCCUAGAAAACAAAAAACAUGAACUGAUGACCUUUCCAGAUUCCAGCAGUCCUGUUCUUGUUCUGCUCUGCUUUACUGCCAGUGGCUGGAACACAUGGCAUAACUCCAUCUGCACCUCCUUAGUAAAGCCGAUUCUCUUAAGCUAUUGCUCAUUGCUCUAAUGUAGACAGAAGAAAUACUUUCUAAAUCCCCUCUGUGAAUAUGGCAUCCAGUUAUGAAGACAGUUAUGCUGGAGCAGCCAUUGCAGAACACGCUAUAGUCAGCAGGUUGGAUCCAAAGUCAUUUGCAGCAUAUUGGAAUUUGUCAUCUACCGCAGUGUAUGAGAAGUAACCAAGGUUUGCUGUUCAAAGAGAGCUUGUUGCAUUUCAUUCUACAUUGCUGGGGUAUAACAGUUGUGGACAAGAUGUUGGAAGGAUCACUGCUUUGACAUUAAAAUGCAUUAAGGUGGAUAAAUCCC